GCUUACACAUGCAGUCGAGGGAGAACGGAGGGCUUCGGCUCUCCUAGUAAACCGGCGCACGGGUGAGUAACACGUAGGUAACCUGCCCCCGAGACCGGGAUAACCUGUCGAAAGAUUGGCUAAUACCGGAUAAGACCACGGUGGUUUCGGCCACUGCGGUCAAAGAUGGCCUCUACACGUGAGCUAUCACUUGGGGAUGGGCCUGCGCGCCAUUAGCUAGUUGGUGAGGUAACGGCUCACCAAGGCGACGAUGGCUAGUUGGUCUGAGAGGAUGACCAGCCACACUGGGACUGAGACACGGCCCAGACUCCUACGGGAGGCAGCAGUGGGGAAUAUUGCGCAGUGGGGGAAACCCUGACGCAGCGACGCCGCGUGGGUGAUGAAGGCCUUCGGGUCGUAAAGCCCUGUCGGAGGGGAAGAAGGACUCUCGGUCGAAUAGGCCGAGGGUUUGACGGUACCCUUAGAGGAAGCACCGGCUAACUCCGUGCCAGCAGCCGCGGUAAUACGGAGGGUGCAAGCGUUGCUCGGAAUUACUGGGCGUAAAGGGCGUGUAGGCGGUUUCGUAUGUCUGGCGUGAAAGCCCCGGGCUCACCUCGGGAAGUGCGUCGGAAACUGCGAGACUAGAGUCCCGGAGAGGGAGGUGGAAUUCCAGGUGUAGCGGUGAAAUGCGUAGAUAUCUGGAAGAACACCGGUGGCGAAGGCGGCCUCCUGGACGGUGACUGACGCUGAGACGCGAAAGCGUGGGAGCAAACAGGAUUAGAUACCCUGGUAGUCCACGCCAUAAACGAUGAGCACUAGGUGUCGCGGGUAUUGACCCCUGCGGUGCCGCCGCUAACGCAUUAAGUGCCCCGCCUGGGGACUACGGCCGCAAGGUUA
RNAcentral lists this ribosomal RNA (876 nucleotides) under uncultured delta proteobacterium. RNAcentral's name for it is "bacterial SSU rRNA". It matches the Rfam family "Bacterial small subunit ribosomal RNA", at positions 46 to 896 of the family's 1533-position model. The record is from RNAcentral. Lineage: Bacteria; Deltaproteobacteria.